Molecule: ribosomal RNA, 427 nt
Filed under: uncultured bacterium
Lineage: Bacteria
Description: partial 16S ribosomal RNA
Rfam family: Bacterial small subunit ribosomal RNA
Source: RNAcentral
GUGAGGAAUCUUCCACAAUGGGCGAAAGCCUGAUGGAGCAACGCCGCGUGAAGGAUGAAGGUCUUCGGAUUGUAAACUUCUUUUAUGAGUGAAGAAUAUGACGGUAACUCAUGAAUAAGCACCGGCUAACUACGUGCCAGCAGCCGCGGUCAUACGUAGGGUGCAAGCAUUAUCCGGAGUGACUGGGCGUAAAGAGUUGCGUAGGCGGUUAUGUAAGAGAAUAGUGAAACCUGGUGGCUCAACCACACAGACUAUUAUUCGAACUGCAUAACUUGAGAAUGGUAGAGGUAACGGGAAUUUCUUGUGUAGGAGUGAAAUCCGUAGAUAUAAGAAGGAACACCAAUGGCGUAGGCAGGUUACUGGGCCAUUUCUGACGCUAAGGCACGAAAGCGUGGGGAGCGAACCGGAUUAAAUACCCGAGUAGUCC